Molecule: ribosomal RNA, 888 nt
Filed under: Triticum aestivum (bread wheat)
Lineage: Eukaryota; Viridiplantae; Streptophyta; Magnoliopsida; Poales; Poaceae
Description: partial small subunit ribosomal RNA
Source: RNAcentral
AUGGCUACUAGCACCAAGCUUGUAGCUCUUGGCUUUGUUGUCCUUGUGAGCAUUGGGUUUGCCGAUGCUGCAAGGAUGCUCGCUAGCUCCUCCAGUGCUUCAGGUGGUGGAGGUGGCGGGGGAGGCGGAGGUGGUGGCGGUGGGUCUGGUGAGAGUGGAUGGGGUGGAGGGUCUGGAUCAGGUGGAGGCUCGGGAUAUAGUGAAAGCGGUGGGGAUUGGGGUAACAAGUGGAACUUCGCCAGGGGAGCUGGUGGAGGAGGAGGAGCUGGUGGUGGCGGAGGAUCAAAUGGUGGAUACGGGUCUGGCUUUGGAUCCGGCUAUGGCACCGGCAGUGCUGUGAGUGGCUCCGCAUCAGCCCCUAGUAGCAAUGGAUAUGCCAAUGCUGAUGGUAAGGGUGGGGGUGGGGGCGGAGGUGGCGGUGCAGAUGGGUCAACCGGAUCCGGAGCUGGCUCUGGCCUUGGCAAGGGAUAUGGUGAGAGUGGCAUAUCAAAGGCACCCGCUCCUGCUGCUGGUGGUGAUGGUACCAGCUACUCUGAUGCUGGUGGUAGUGGUAACGGUGGUGGUGGCGGUAACAAUGGAAAUGGAGGUGGUGCCGGUGCUGGUGCGGGACAGGCCGGCAAUGAUGACACUUCUGGGGGCUUUGCGAAUGGAGGAGGAAGCGGCAAUGGUGGUGGCGCAACCGGAGGUGGCGCCGAAGGUCCAAGCGUUGGAGUUGGGUCUGGCGUUGGGUCUGGCACGGGACAAACCGGUAGUACUGGCUCAAAUGGCACAGGCUACGCCACCGGCAUGGGUGGCGGCAUGGGUGGCGGCAAUGGUGGUAGCACUAAUGGAGGAACCGGUAGCGGUGGAGGAAGUGGAUCCGGAUCUGGUGGGGGCGGUUACCAUUAA